GAUGAACGCUGGCGGCGUGCCUAAUACAUGCAAGUCGAGCGAACAGACGAGGAGCUUGCUCCUCUGACGUUAGCGGCGGACGGGUGAGUGACACGUGGAUAACCUACCUAUAAGACUGGGAUAACUUCGGGAAACCGGAGCUAAUACCGGAUAAUAUAUUGAGCCGCAUGGUUCAAUAGUGAAAGACGGUUUUGCUGUCACUUAUAGAUGGAUCCGCGCCGCAUUAGCUAGUUGGUAAGGUAACGGCUUACCAAGGCGACGAUGCGUAGCCGACCUGAGAGGGUGAUCGGCCACACUGGAACUGAGACACGGUCCAGACUCCUACGGGAGGCAGCAGUAGGGAAUCUUCCGCAAUGGGCGAAAGCCUGACGGAGCAACGCCGCGUGAGUGAUGAAGGUCUUCGGAUCGUAAAACUCUGUUAUUAGGGAAGAACAAAUGUGUAAGUAACUAUGCACGUCUUGACGGUACCUAAUCAGAAAGCCACGGCUAACUACGUG
Molecule: ribosomal RNA, 497 nt
Filed under: uncultured bacterium
Lineage: Bacteria
Description: partial 16S ribosomal RNA
Rfam family: Bacterial small subunit ribosomal RNA
Source: RNAcentral